UAUGAAGGGGGCUAGCGUUGCUCGGAAUCACUGGGCGUAAAGCGCACGUAGGCGGCUUCUUAAGUCAGGGGUGAAAUCCUGGAGCUCAACUCCAGAACUGCCUUUGAUACUGAGGAGCUUGAGUCCGGGAGAGGUGAGUGGAACUGCGAGUGUAGAGGUGAAAUUCGUAGAUAUUCGCAAGAACACCAGUGGCGAAGGCGGCUCACUGGCCCGGUACUGACGCUGAGGUGCGAAAGCGUGGGGAGCAAACAGG
RNAcentral lists this ribosomal RNA (253 nucleotides) under uncultured bacterium. RNAcentral's name for it is "partial 16S ribosomal RNA". It matches the Rfam family "Bacterial small subunit ribosomal RNA", at positions 524 to 776 of the family's 1533-position model. The record is from RNAcentral.